Molecule: transfer RNA, 68 nt
Filed under: Anadara kagoshimensis
Lineage: Eukaryota; Metazoa; Mollusca; Bivalvia; Arcoida; Arcidae
Description: tRNA-Tyr
Source: RNAcentral
GCCGAGAUGGCAGUAAGUGCGGUAGGUUGUAGCCCUAAUAAUACGAUAAAAAAAUUUCGUUCUUGGUA